CCUACGGGAGGCAGCAGGAGGGAAUAGUGCACAAUGGGGGAAACCCGGAAGCAGCAACGCCGCGUGGAGGAUGAAGGUCUUCGGAUUGUAAACGCCUGUUGGUAGAGAAGAGAAUGACGGUACCUAACGAAUAAGCACCGGCUAACUCCGGGCCAGCAGCCGCGGUAAUACGUAGGGAGCAAGCGUUAUUCGGAAUUACUGGGCGUAAAGAGCGCGUAGGCGGGAUAGCAAGUCAGGUGUGAAAGCCUAUGGCUUAACCAUAGAACUGCAUUUGAAACUGUUAUUCUAGAGUAUGGGAGGGGUAGGUGGAAUUCUUGGUGUAGUGGUCAAAUCCGUAGAGAUCACGAGGAAUACUCAUUGCGAAGGCGGCCUGCUAGACCGUAACUGACGCUGAUGCGCGAAAGCGUGGGGAGCAAACAGGAUUAGAUACCCGGGUAGUC
RNAcentral lists this ribosomal RNA (440 nucleotides) under uncultured bacterium. Its description in RNAcentral is "partial 16S ribosomal RNA". It matches the Rfam family "Bacterial small subunit ribosomal RNA", at positions 338 to 795 of the family's 1533-position model. The record is from RNAcentral.